RNAcentral lists this long non-coding RNA (466 nucleotides) under Pan troglodytes (chimpanzee). RNAcentral describes it as "long non-coding RNA NONPTRT013954". The record is from RNAcentral. Lineage: Eukaryota; Metazoa; Chordata; Mammalia; Primates; Hominidae.
CACCCUCCGACCACCCCACUUCUUCCCCUCCCCUCACACUUCCCUCCCUCCCUUCUCUCGUCUCCUCCCCACUGCGCCUCCCUCCCUCCUGGCCUUCCUUCCCUUCCACGACUUUGCAGAUUUCUCUUCCCCCAGGCCUCCCUCCUCCACCUCUCCGCCCCCUCCGGGCUUGGCUCUCCCAGGAGGCUACGACUGGAGCCACUGGUCCCGCAGGGAUCCCCGCGUCCUCGGUCGCCGCGUCCACGUCCCUCUCGCGUCCCCGCCCGGCGCCACGCCGCCUCCUCUGGGUUCGGCCUCCGCGCGGUGCAGCGCAGUCUCAGGCCACGGGACAAGGGCCUGCUGUCUAUAUCCUUGGAUGCUGUAUUUGAGUCAGGUUGGAAUUUCAUACCUUAUUUCUACAAAAAGUCUGUUUCGUCAGUCUUGAGACCUCUGUUUGAAUGUUAAUGCUGGUCAUUUGUGCCUGAAC